CCUUCCCGCUGCUUACAAAGCCGCAGUUGUCAGCCUGAGCAUUGCUUCUGGGGCGGAAAAUGGGCGUGGUGUUUCUUGUGCGGGCGUGGUAUGCCCCAUGUGUGCGUGAUAAGCUGUAUGUGGGCGCGGAUUUAUACUGUUUUUCAAUCACAACUUGUUUAUCCCAAAGGCCGAGAAGCGAUGAAGAAACGGUGGUUGUUAUAGAUUUCCUGCUUUUUUUUUUUAUUACUUGAAGCCCGAGACCCUCAUCAUGGAACAUCUUAAAGGGGGACCUCGCCUCCCCAUGCUGGAAGUCAGGAUUACCCAGAAACCGUAGAAACAAGGAUUUAUGUCUCCCUAAGUUUCCGGAUCGUCUCAAGGAGUGCCAAAGGCUAUACACCGACCACAGAAGGGGAUUAUCCUGUAAAUCUCGAUCGCAGUCUGCCUCCAUACAGUGGAGGAAGUUUGUCAAGUUUUUAGAUUUUAUGAAUUGUUCCUCAAGAUGUGUGUUUGCAUAAGUGUCUGUGUCGUUUAACCAGUCCCUUAAGAACCUCAACAAAGAUGCAUGGUUAUAAAGCAAAAUGUUAGGGAAGUUAAUUCCGCCAUUAGAUUUUGGUUGUUGUAAUUUAUGCAUGGCAAUACGAGCUCUCUUGCCUUUCCAGAUAAACUGUCGGAAUAGUUUGGUUAUGUGGGACAGAUCUGAUCUACUAAGCAAUAUCGGGAGGGAUUGGGGAGGGAUUGUAAAGUGUAUAGUAACCUUGGAAAUGUACACAUUUUUAUUAAGGCUGCUCUCCCUAAAUAUGAAAGCUUUAAAUGAUUCCAUCCUUCAAGAUCCUUCGUAAUGUGAGUUAUUGUCGUCUUAACAUUCAGCCUAUAUAGUUCCGAGGGAUAUUUCGGAAGGUUAAUGCCUAGAUAUGUUAUGUAAGUGUUAGCCCAGUUUAUAGGUAUCUGUUUCCCCCAUCCCGGGCACCUUACCCCAUGUUUCAAAUUUAGCCCUAUGGAUUUUGAAAGGUUAACUUGGAAACCCGAAAUUUGUCCAAAGUUAUCCAAUAGAUCUAAGAUAUCCCGUAAGGAAUCCCUAGGGUUCCCAAUAUAAACCAGCACAUCAUCCGCGAAUGCUGACAGUUUUAUUUCUUUAUCCCCAAUUGGAAUACCUUGAUAGGUCAUUGAGUUCUGAAGUACCCGGAAGAGGGGGUCUAUGGAUAAGUUAAAUAGAAGGGGUGACAGGGGACAUCCCUGUCUUGUACCUCUUUGCAUCGAGAUCCGUGGACCCCGUUUGCCAUUGACCAAUAAAGAGGUUGUCGGAGCGGUAUAAAGAUAUUUAAUAACAUUUAUAAAAGUCUCUGUAAACCCUCUGUAAUGUAACACAGUAAAUAGAUGCUGCCAUGA
Molecule: long non-coding RNA, 1368 nt
Organism: Pseudophryne corroboree (corroboree frog)
Lineage: Eukaryota; Metazoa; Chordata; Amphibia; Anura; Myobatrachidae
Exons: 2
Source: RefSeq, a predicted model, not a curated record